Molecule: ribosomal RNA, 253 nt
Filed under: uncultured bacterium
Lineage: Bacteria
Description: partial 16S ribosomal RNA
Rfam family: Bacterial small subunit ribosomal RNA
Source: RNAcentral
UACGAGGGGGGCGAGCGUUGUUCGGAAUUAUUGGGCGUAAAGGGCGCGUAGGCGGUCGGAUAAGUCUUGUGUGAAAUCUUCGGGCUCAACUCGAAGUCUGCACAGGAAACUAUCUGGCUUGAGUGUGGGAGAGGUGAGUGGAAUUCCCGGUGUAGCAGUGAAAUGCGUAGAGAUCGGGAGGAACACCAGUGGCGAAGGCGGCUACCUGGACCAGCAUUGACACUCAAGCACGAAAGCGUGGGGAGCAAACAGG